UACGUAGGGGGCAAGCGUUGUCCGGAUUUAUUGGGCGUAAAGAGCGUGUAGGCGGUCUGGUAGGUCCGUUGUGAAAACUCGAGGCUCAACCUCGAGACGCCGAUGGAAACCCUCAGACUAGAGUCCGGAAGAGGAGAGUGGAAUUCCUGGUGUAGCGGUGAAAUGCGCAGAUAUCAGGAAGAACACCCGUGGCUAAGGCGGCUCUCUAGUACGGUACUGACGCUGAGACGCGAAAGCGUGGGGAGCAAACAGG
This 253-nucleotide ribosomal RNA is filed under the name uncultured bacterium. Its description in RNAcentral is "partial 16S ribosomal RNA". It matches the Rfam family "Bacterial small subunit ribosomal RNA", at positions 524 to 776 of the family's 1533-position model. The record is from RNAcentral.